This is a long non-coding RNA of Sapajus apella (tufted capuchin), 5502 nucleotides long. RefSeq lists it as uncharacterized. NCBI's taxonomy places the organism in Eukaryota, Metazoa, Chordata, Mammalia, Primates, Cebidae. The record is from RefSeq and is a predicted model, not a curated record. The transcript is spliced from 2 exons.
ACACACAAACAACUCUCAUGAGUUUCUCUGUCAUUUGACGCUGUUUGCUGCUUCUGCCACAUGUCUUAGAGCUUUGAAUUACAGAUAUACUUAACUACUUGAACUUCUGCCUGUGUCCCGGGUUCCUCCUUUCUAGAAUGUUCUCUGUCCUACUCUCUUCCCCAGAUUCACUUCCUUUUGGAAGCUUUCUACCACAUAAAAUGACUGGAUAAAUUCCUCUAAUACCUGCUUCCAUUAUACCUUGAGUAUUUUCUGGUAUAUAAUAUUCAGUUAUUAUUAACCAUUUAUUUCUCUCUCUUCUUACUAGCACUAUGUGUUCCUAGUGACCAGGGAUGAUAUUUUACUCUCUUAGCUUCAAAGUCUAGUGCUUGACUGAGAUACAUGAUGAGUUUCUAGUGAAAUGAAUGACUGGAUAAAUGAAUGAAUACAUUUGCAAUAACAAAAUUUUAACCUCCUUGUCUUUUCCUUCAUUCACAUGGAGCUCUGCGUCACAUUGCAAAAGCCCUUCCAGUGUCUUGUCCAAGCCCAUGCAUCAACUCGACUUGUAUUCCUUCAUUAUCAUGGCAAUAAAAAGUAGGGAGUUUAGAAGGAAGAGAAAUGGGAUGAGGGAGGGAGGAACAGAGAGGAAGCAGCCAGGAAGAGAUAGUCACAUCAGAAUAAAAAGGUUUAUUUCAUUGAUGAGGAAACUGAGACUGAGAAAGGAAUGUGACUUGUGUAAGUCACACAGGAGAGACCAGAACCUGGUUUUAUGGCUGCCAACCCUGCGCCUUUCCACUGUGUCAUGAAUAUUUCAGCAAAAGCAUCUGCCACACGCAGAUGAAAACAUACUGGUUCAUUUCCAAAGACAACAACCUCAUUGUCAGGGUCAUGGGUUGAAAUAUAAAGAAUUAUUCCUGAUUUAAACACAGCCUCUCACUUGGAGCAAUGACUUAGGCUAAUUUUGCAGGCGGCAUGUUUUCCUUUGAGAUUUCUCACCGGAUCUGUUCCCCAUCUCCUAGAUUGCAUAAGGGUAAUGAUGAAUUCCGUGACUAGAUCCCAACUUCCUGAGACUCAAAAUAAUCACUGUUCUGUUUUCCACGGGAGAUGAAGAUAUAUAUUAGGAUUUUAACAUGCUUUGAAUAUCCACUUUCAGAACAGGAGACAUCCGCAGCAGGUGGGGCUUGCAAAUGAUAUUUCUAAUCAGAUGUUCAUCCAGAAAGUAAUUAACUUUAGGAAAGUAAAGGCCCUAGAGGCUUCUGAAAAGAUUUCCUUACUCUCAACUCUCCCUGAGCAUUUCUUGAUCUUUGCCUCCCCCCCCUGAGCUGCAGAGCCCAGAGGGAAGAUGAGAAGCAAGUCCUGCUGAUAAGGAUGCAGAUCACAUUUGGGUGACUCAGAGCUGUGCGGGUUGCAGAAAGAGUAGCUACCCAAAGCACAUGGGUGAAGGGACAGUGAAUCCCCUGAAGACCACUAAAGCCUAAAAUACAAGAUGAGGAUCACAGUCAGGAUACUAGAGAUCCAUGGUUUCACGUAAAUAUGAAGCAUUGAAAUGUUUUUAUGCUCUCUGGUUUCAAAAAUGUGAAUUUUAGAAAAAAAUUACUAACAGUAUUUUUGUGAAGCCAAUAAUAAAUAUACGACAGUCAUGAAAACACAGUUGAAAAAAAUUUUAUUUUCUAGGUUUCAAGGUGGUAGAAGGGAACAAAAGAAGGUCUGUAAGAUACCUUGAAAAUUUAUUUUUUUAAAAAUUUUUAUGGGAAUGUUCUUUCUUGAUGUCCACAUUUGUUGACAGUCUUUCAGUCAGUCACCGAAUAAGCCCCAAGGAUCCAGAAAUAAAAGACACAAUCUUUACCCUGUGUGAUAGUCUGCGAUAAUUGUCGUCAAAUAUUUCCAGUUAUCCACCUACAAGGCUCUUCCUGGCUGCUUGUGGUUGGAUAUAUUUAGCUUUGGUCAAUGAGUUUUGAGCUAAAGUAUCUGGUGUCACUUCUAGGCCAGAGAAUUUAAUUGUCAGUAUGAAACUCUUCUUCCUCUGCCAGCAUGCCUGAUUGUGCUGUGGAUAGAGCCUAUUCUUUUUGUAUGUGAUUAGAAACUGUGCAUAUGAUUGGAUAUUACUCCUGUGGUUGGGUUAUUAAUCAGUCAGCUUUGAGUCAAUCAAAUGGGAAUUAGCUUGGGUGGGCCUGACCCAAUCAGGUGAGCCCUUUAAAAGAAGAUGAGGUGUCAAAGAGAUAUGCUCCUGCUUUCCUAGAAGAAAGCAAACAGACAGCAACAUAAUGGGACGUCAAUUACAUCAUUACAAGAAAUUGAUUUCAGUCCAAAAACACAAAUGGGCUUGGAAGAGAACCAUAAGUCUUAGAUGAGGUUGCAGCCCUGGCUAGCACCUUGAUUUCAGCCUGGUGAAUCCCUGAGCAGAGGACACAGCUAGCCCAUACCCAUAUGAAACUCUGAGAUAGUUCAUCUGUCUUGUUUUAAAUUUGCGGUAGUUUGUUGCAUGGCUAUAGAACUUUAAUACUAUCAUGAGGGGCUUCUCAGGACUCAAAGAUUUUUACUAUUAGGAUGAGUUUUAAAAGAAUGAGAAUAAUCCAGAUAAAGAGCGAUGGCACAGAGGAAAUAUCAAGAUGAAAGAAGAGCAGAUGCUAAAAUUUGAAAACCUGAGUGAAUAGGGUGUGUCUUAAUUAAAAGCAAUUCAGUUUAUAUAAGGAGGACUGAUAGUAAAAACAUUUAGCAACUCAUAAAAUCUGCACUGUUGCAGGCCAGGCCCUCUGAAAGCAGAUGCUGGGGCAGAAUUAGCUCUCCCAAAGGUUUAUUAGGUGUUGACUUGUGGCAGGAAGAGGGAGGAAGAUUGGGCAGGGGCUUAUGUUUCACUAAGAUCCAGUCGCAACAAAGCUUUGGCCAAUCAAAGGCAGUUCUGAGAAAUUCCUGCUUAUUGGGGGAUUCCCCACUGAGAUGAAAAUGGCCAGGCACUUAGCUCUCAUCCUGCUCCUUUAUUUGAUAUGAUUGUUCCAAGAAGAGCAUGGCCCCAGGUCUCUACAACCAAACUCAAUAUUGGAUAGUGUCUGAUGACUGGAUUCCUGGCAAUGAAAUGAUAAGUGCUUCCUUGAAGGAGGAUCUGGGCUGACUAUCUCUGUCUGCCGCAAACUCUAACCGACAAGAACAGGACAUGCCUGGUAGGGCCAGGCAUCACUAGUUAAUGAGUCUUGGGAAAUGCUCAGGAGUUUUAAGGAAAGUACCAGUUAAGUGAACCCUAAGCCUUAGAUGAGGUUGAGUGGUGGGGGAGUACUCUAGGAACACAGGCUGUGACUAGCAACCAGUGAAAAGCAUUUCAGCUGGAAUGGCUGAGUCAGUAGACAAGGUCUGAGGAGCAAACAAGGACCAGAUAAAGAAGGGUUCAUUUUGUGACCUGAAGCAUCACAUUUCACAUCCUAUCAACAAGGAUUUAGAACCACCAUUGAAUCCACUUUUCCACCAUAAUUAAAAUUGUUGCUGAGCAAAGAUUGUACCCUGACCCCAGCAUGGUCACAUCCUUCGAAUGAACAAACUCAAACCCAAGACACUGAGGACAGGUAACAUGGCUGCCAAGAACUAUUCAAUAUGAAAGCAGUAAAAAAGACUUACAUAUGCCAUGCUUCUGAGCUUCUGGAUAAUUUAUUUACACAACUGCAUUUCCAUCUGUCACUGCAUUGUCCUUUAAACUGCCUGCCAAUCCCAUGAUUUCACCAGGCUGUGGCUGGAAGCAUCCCUCAGGUCCACAACAUCAAAGCCCCUCUGUUCCUCUCAUGCUGUCAUUUACAAAGCUCAUGCCAAGGUGGAUCCAUUUUUUGUGAUGCGAUUUGCCAUUAAUAGAUUCAUAUUGCUCAUUGCUCUAGGGUCCAGUGUCUAAGAGCUAUUGAAGUGCCCUUAAGCUCCCCAGGUUGCUGAAUCAGAACUUGCUCAUCAGUCACUGUUGGCACCAUUUAGCAGGCUGCUUGCUUGCCAGGAAGAGUCUGAUGCCUUCAUCUCCUCUCCUCCCAGAUGGAAUGUGGACCCUCCGCAGUUCUGGGAAACCUCACAUCUUUUAUGGAGUCAUAUGAAAGGCAAAAGAGAAGGUGACAUUGAGGAAGGUGGGCAGGAGCACAGAGGUGCCAUCGAUGGUUCUUCUGGUUCCUAGUGAGAGAAGAAUAUGCCAAUGUGUUAUAUAGGAUCUAAGAGAUCACUUGGCCCCAAAUUCCCAUUUUAUAGAUGAGGAUGAGAGAUGCAAAAAGGUUCAUGCUUAUUCUAGAUCAUCAUUAUGGGCAAAUUGUGACCUCCCCCAAAUUCAUAUGUGGAAUCCUUAAUCCCCAGAGUGACUGACUGUAUUUUGACAGAGCGUCUAUAAAGAGAUAAUAAAGGUUAAGUGAGAUAAUAAUAAGAAUGAGAUCCUAUUUGAUCAGAGUGGUGUCUUUAUAAAAGCGGAAGAGACAUCAGAGCCUCCUCUCUCUCUCUCUCUCUCUUUCUCUUUGUAUCUCUCAGCACACAAAGAAAAGGCCAUGUGAAGACACAGAGAGAAGGGAGAAGGAGGCUGUUUGCAAGUCAGCAAGAGAGGCCUCACCAGAAACCAAACCUGCUGGCACCUUGAUCUUGAACUUUCAGCCUGGAGAAUUGUGAGAAAAUAAAUUUCUGCUGUUUAAGCCACUCGACCUGUGGUAUUUUGCUAUGGCAGGCCAAGCUGAUUAAUAUAAUCACCCAGCACACUUGUGACCUAAGUAGUUCUACUCACUUAGCAAUCUGGGGGGUUGUGAGCCGUGGAAGAUGACUGGCUGUUUACAGAAUGCAAAAGGGAAGGAAUGAAAAACCAAGGAGCAAGCAUAGAGAGAAAAAAAUAAGAAAAGGUAGAGAAAGAGGAGGAUGGAGAACAAGAGAGGGACAGAAAAGCAGAAAGUAGGAGGAGUUAACUUCUAAUUUAGAUCUGCAAGAAGUUUUUAAACAAUCAAUACAUUUUAUUUAUCCUUCGACUAUGAAGUCUGUAAAGAUGAAUAGAGAUAAAUGUUUUUAUUGAAUCAGGAUUUCAGAGUGGUAAGGACACUAAAGGAAAAGAAACAAACCUCAAAUUGGAUAAAGAAAUUGGCGAGGUUCAUACGGUAAGUUCAGCAUGGCAGCCUUAUUGUGCAUGGUGGUGGGCUUGUCACAGAUCUGGCUCGCAGGAGAUAGCCCACCCUACCUGUCCUCUGCCCCACUUCAUGCACAUAUGUGGCCAGGCAGUUGAGAGCACAGACUUGGAAACAAAAGGAGCCUGGGGCAGAUCCCAGUCUUGUGUUUUUCCACCUUCGUGUUUUCUGAUAAAAUGCCUCUGCUCCUCCGAUUUCAGAUUGCUUUUGUCUCUAGAUUCAGGACUCUCGGUUCUAGAGAUGUGCUGAUAUUUAAAUGUACGAGUUCAAAUUUAAUGAAAAUGUAGGGAGAAGUACUGAGACUUUAUUAAAAAAUAAGAUGAAAAGUACUUAUGUUUCCAUAGCAAUUAGAUUGGAACUUCCCCCAUCUUCCUUGCAAUCAUAUCCAAACAAUGGAUGUAAACUCCUA